Molecule: ribosomal RNA, 548 nt
Filed under: uncultured bacterium
Lineage: Bacteria
Description: bacterial SSU rRNA
Rfam family: Bacterial small subunit ribosomal RNA
Source: RNAcentral
GGGGAAUUUUGGACAAUGGGCGAAAGCCUGAUCCAGCCAUGCCGCGUGUCUGAAGAAGGCCUUCGGGUUGUAAAGGACUUUUGUCAGGGAAGAAAAGGGCGGGGUUAAUACCCCUGUCUGAUGACGGUACCUGAAGAAUAAGCACCGGCUAACUACGUGCCAGCAGCCGCGGUAAUACGUAGGGUGCGAGCGUUAAUCGGAAUUACUGGGCGUAAAGCGGGCGCAGACGGUUACUUAAGCAGGAUGUGAAAUCCCCGGGCUCAACCUGGGAACUGCGUUCUGAACUGGGUGACUAGAGUGUGUCAGAGGGAGGUAGAAUUCCACGUGUAGCAGUGAAAUGCGUAGAGAUGUGGAGGAAUACCGAUGGCGAAGGCAGCCUCCUGGGAUAACACUGACGUUCAUGCCCGAAAGCGUGGGUAGCAAACAGGAUUAGAUACCCUGGUAGUCCACGCCCUAAACGAUGUCGAUUAGCUGUUGGGCAGCAUGACUGCUUAGUAGCGAAGCUAACGCGUGAAAUCGACCGCCUGGGGAGUACGGUCGCAAGAUUA